UACGUAGGGGGCAAGCGUUGUCCGGAUUCAUUGGGCGUAAAGAGCGUGUAGGCGGCCUGAAAGGUCAGCUGUGAAAACUCGAGGCUCAACCUCGAGACGUCGGUUGAAACCAUCUGGCUAGAGUCCGGAAGAGGAGUGUGGAAUUCCCGGUGUAGCGGUGGAAUGCGCAGAUAUCGGGAAGAACACCCGUGGCGAAGGCGGCACUCUGGGACGGUACUGACGCUGAGACGCGAAAGCGUGGGGAGCGAACAGG
Molecule: ribosomal RNA, 253 nt
Filed under: uncultured bacterium
Lineage: Bacteria
Description: partial 16S ribosomal RNA
Rfam family: Bacterial small subunit ribosomal RNA
Source: RNAcentral